Molecule: long non-coding RNA, 550 nt
Filed under: Pan troglodytes (chimpanzee)
Lineage: Eukaryota; Metazoa; Chordata; Mammalia; Primates; Hominidae
Description: long non-coding RNA NONPTRT011627
Source: RNAcentral
UCUUUUUGUGGACCCAGUUUGGGUCUCUGUUGCCAACAUGUUGGACAUUCAGGAGGGAAAAUAGCUAGACAAGCCUUGGUGAGCUGGGCUCCAUGCUGUUAUACUUCAGUAUUUCUCUUUUUCAGACUUCUGACCAACCAACUGAGCUGUUUGCCUCUUUCAGUGAAUUUGUAAAUAUUCUGACCUUGGCGCAUUCAUUUUUCAAUAAAAGUAGAUAAUCACUAAAUGCACUGUCCUAAUUCUGUACUUUAGGAAGAUUUACGCCACUGCUGUCUGGCUAGCCUGAUGAGGACUGACGUGUAGUUACAGUUUAUGAAAAUACUCUACAUGUCUACAUGAUGGUUCACCUAUUGGGAAUUGCUACAAUCUCUAAAUUGGUUCUUUUCCCAUUACAGAUAUUUUUAGUAUCAUAGGGCACUCCAGAUUGUGUGGUCCAAUUGAUAAAGCCACUGGUAGCAUCACCUACAAGUCUUUUCCUGCUCCGAGCCCCAUUAAAGGCUGGCAGCCUUCAUUUCAACUGGUAAAUGGAUCAGAGGUGCUUCCAGGUGUA